Molecule: ribosomal RNA, 503 nt
Filed under: uncultured bacterium
Lineage: Bacteria
Description: partial 16S ribosomal RNA
Rfam family: Bacterial small subunit ribosomal RNA
Source: RNAcentral
AACGAACGCUGGCGGCGUGUUUAAGACAUGCAAGUCGCACGGGAUAAGACAUGUAGUAAUACUUGUGUUAUUUAGUGGCGCACGGGUGAGUAACACGUGAAUUACAUGCCCUAUAGUGGGGAAUAGCCCAGGGAAACUUGGAUUAAUACCCCAUGGUAUCGAAAGAUUAAAGGUGGCCGCAAGGCUGUCGCUAUAGGAUUGGUUCGCGCCCUAUCAGCUUGUUGGUGAGGUAACGGCUCACCAAGGCGAUGACGGGUACCUGGUCUGAGAGGACGAUCAGGCACACUGGAACUGAGACACGGUCCAGACACCUACGGGUGGCAGCAGUCGAGAAUAAUUCACAAUGGGGGCAACCCUGAUGGUGCAACGCCGCGUGGAGGAUGACGGUCUUCGGAUUGUAAACUCCUGUCAUCUGGGAGAAAGACCUGACGGUAAAUAGCCGGCAGGGUUGAUAGUACCAGAAGAGGAAGGGACGGCUAACUUCGUGCCAGCAGCCGCCGUAA